UUAAGUUCAGCGGGUAUCCCUACCUGAUCCGAGGUCAACCAUAGAAAGAUGGGGGGUUUGAUGGCGAGGGCACGCGGGGCACCUGUAACGAGAGUUUGCUACUACGUUCAGGGCUCAGCGGCGCCGCCACUGCUUUUGAGGCACGCCGGGUGACCGACGAAGCCCAAUACCAAGCUGCGCUUGAGGGUUGAAAUGACGCU
RNAcentral lists this unclassified non-coding RNA (200 nucleotides) under Rutstroemiaceae sp. RNAcentral describes it as "partial internal transcribed spacer 2". The record is from RNAcentral. Lineage: Eukaryota; Fungi; Ascomycota; Leotiomycetes; Helotiales; Rutstroemiaceae.